Long non-coding RNA from Sebastes umbrosus (honeycomb rockfish), 626 nucleotides. RefSeq lists it as uncharacterized. NCBI's taxonomy places the organism in Eukaryota, Metazoa, Chordata, Actinopteri, Perciformes, Sebastidae. The transcript is spliced from 3 exons. The record is from RefSeq and is a predicted model, not a curated record.
UGAUCACUCUGUCUAGUCUCUUCCUCUCUGCAGCUGAGAUGCUGCUGCCCCAGCAGACCACUCCAUAAAAAAUGUCUGAUGCCACCACAGUGUCAUAAAGGGUCUUCAGGAGUGGCCCCUGAUUUCUAAAAGACCUCAGUCUCCUGAGCAGCUUCCAUACCAAAACUGUGCACAGGCGUUGGCCUGCUUGUCAUAGUACCAGCGGAUGAUGUAGCUUCGGCAGGUGCCUUGGUCCAAGCUGAGGUUACAGCGGGGAUCAACAACAGGGACCUCUGAAGAAGAAAUAGCAGGACUGCUCUCACUACGGUCUGCAACUGAUUAGAGUUUAAAGAUGAAACUGAGCCCACAGAUGUUGAGACAGAUGUUGCAUUUGAAGAUGAAGACGUAGAAGAUGAUAAGACGGCCUCAUUGGAGACGGAGCUUUCUCUCACAGUCGACAAAGAUGUUGUUUUGUUUUGUUUGGCUACAAUAGCUACAGUAUUACCACCCCGGGCAUGGGCUCUUAAGUCUAAAUCUUCACCUUCAUCAUCUUCCAAAACCUGGAGUAGGAUGACAACAUAAAAAUGUGUCAGUGUUGUUAUGAAUUCUGCACCACCAGUGAAUAAAAUGGCAAUAGAAUACUUUAA